Molecule: long non-coding RNA, 97 nt
Organism: Cebus imitator (Panamanian white-faced capuchin)
Lineage: Eukaryota; Metazoa; Chordata; Mammalia; Primates; Cebidae
Exons: 3
Source: RefSeq, a predicted model, not a curated record
AAAACCCUCAACAGAUGAGUCAUCAAAGGAACAUACCUCAAAAUAAUAAGAGCCAUCUACUACAAACCACAGCCAACAUUAUCCUGAAUGAAAAUGC